Molecule: ribosomal RNA, 247 nt
Filed under: uncultured bacterium
Lineage: Bacteria
Description: partial 16S ribosomal RNA
Rfam family: Bacterial small subunit ribosomal RNA
Source: RNAcentral
AUACGUAGGUGGCAAGCGUUGUCCGGAUUUACUGGGUGUAAAGGGCGUGUAGGCGGGUGCUUAAGUCAGUGGUGAAAUACCGAAGCUCAACUUCGGGGCUGCCAUUGAAACUAUGUUUCUUGAGUGUCGGAGAGGAAAGCGGAAUUCCUAGUGUAGCGGUGAAAUGCGUAGAUAUUAGGAGGAACACCAGUGGCGAAGGCGGCUUUCUGGACUGUAACUGACACUGAGGCAUGAAAGCGUGGGUAGC